Molecule: long non-coding RNA, 101 nt
Organism: Melitaea cinxia (Glanville fritillary)
Lineage: Eukaryota; Metazoa; Arthropoda; Insecta; Lepidoptera; Nymphalidae
Exons: 4
Source: RefSeq, a predicted model, not a curated record
UGUCAUUUAUUCUUAAGCUAUAGUAGUGGGUAUUCGUGCAUUCUGGAUCAACCUUCGGUUGAUCCAGAAUACACGAAUACGACAUGGCUCCUCGGCAAAAA